UACAGAGGUCCCGAGCGUUGUUCGGAUUCACUGGGCGUAAAGGGUGCGUAGGUGGUGAGGUAAGUCGGAUGUGAAAUCUCCGAGCUCAACUCGGAAAUGGCAUUGGAAACUACCUUGCUAGAGGAUCGGAGGGGGGACUGGAAUACUUGGUGUAGCAGUGAAAUGCGUAGAUAUCAAGUGGAACACCAGUGGCGAAGGCGAGUCCCUGGACAAUUCCUGACACUGAGGCACGAAAGCUAGGGGAGCAAACAGG
This 253-nucleotide ribosomal RNA is filed under the name uncultured bacterium. RNAcentral's name for it is "partial 16S ribosomal RNA". It matches the Rfam family "Bacterial small subunit ribosomal RNA", at positions 524 to 776 of the family's 1533-position model. The record is from RNAcentral.